Molecule: ribosomal RNA, 484 nt
Filed under: uncultured bacterium
Lineage: Bacteria
Description: partial 16S ribosomal RNA
Rfam family: Bacterial small subunit ribosomal RNA
Source: RNAcentral
AUUGAACGCUGGCGGCAGGCCUAACACAUGCAAGUCGAGCGGAUGAAGGGAGCUUGCUCCUGGAUUCAGCGGCGGACGGGUGAGUAAUGCCUAGGAAUCUGCCUGGUAGUGGGGGAUAACGUCCGGAAACGGGCGCUAAUACCGCAUACGUCCUGAGGGAGAAAGUGGGGGAUCUUCGGACCUCACGCUAUCAGCUGAGCCUAGGUCGGAUUAGCUAGUUGGUGGGGUAAAGGCCUACCAAGGCGACGAUCCGUAACUGGUCUGAGAGGAUGAUCAGUCACACUGGAACUGAGACACGGCCCAGACUCCUACGGGAGGCAGCAGUGGGGAAUAUUGGACAAUGGGCGAAAGCCUGAUCCAGCCAUGCCGCGUGUGUGAAGAAGGUCUUCGGAUUGUAAAGCACUUUAAGUUGGGAGGAAGGGCAGUAAGUUAAUACCUUGCUGUUUUGACGUUACCAACAGAAUAAGCACCGGCUAACUUCGUG